RNAcentral lists this long non-coding RNA (296 nucleotides) under Daucus carota (carrot). RNAcentral describes it as "long non-coding RNA (DCAR_LNC001261)". The record is from RNAcentral. Lineage: Eukaryota; Viridiplantae; Streptophyta; Magnoliopsida; Apiales; Apiaceae.
CCCAACUAGAAAGCCAACUAGGGUACUCUCUCUCUCUCUCUCUCUCUUAUCUCUAAAUAAAAUGGCGUCGAUCGUCGCCGCCGCCGGAACCCUAGCUCCUCUCAAUAUCUCUUCCACUCCCCGUCGCUCUUACCGCCGUUCCUCGACCUCUACUUCCCUCUCCGCCGCUCCAUUCCUCCCCCAAAUCCGCUGCUCAAUCUCUCCCCAAAACCCUAAUCCCUCCCCGCAAAACCCUAAUUUCCCCGCCAAAUCUCCGUUCUCUCUAUCUCGCUCGGCUCCUCUAGCUCUCACUGCGG